This 89-nucleotide transfer RNA is filed under the name Cubamyces sp. BRFM 1775. RNAcentral's name for it is "Leiotrametes sp. BRFM 1775 tRNA-Thr". It matches the Rfam family "tRNA". From Rfam's summary of the family: Transfer RNA (tRNA) molecules are approximately 80 nucleotides in length. Their secondary structure includes four short double-helical elements and three loops (D, anti-codon, and T loops). Lineage: Eukaryota; Fungi; Basidiomycota; Agaricomycetes; Polyporales; Polyporaceae. The record is from RNAcentral.
UCCCGUUUAGCUCAGUUGGUAGAGCGCGUCACUAGUACCCCUAAAGUAGGGUUAUGACGAGGUCAGUCGUUCGAGUCGGCUAAUGGGAA